RNAcentral lists this ribosomal RNA (1471 nucleotides) under metagenome. RNAcentral describes it as "bacterial SSU rRNA". It matches the Rfam family "Bacterial small subunit ribosomal RNA". The record is from RNAcentral.
AGAGUUUGAUCCUGGCUCAGGACGAACGCUGGCGGCGUGCCUAACACAUGCAAGUCGAGCGAGAAACUUCGGUUUCUAGCGGCGGACGGGUGAGUAACACGUGGGCAACCUGCCUCAUAGAGGGGGAUAGCCUCCCGAAAGGGAGAUUAAUACCGCAUAAUAUGUUUUUAUCGCAUGGUAAAAACAUUAAAGGAGCAAUCCACUAUGAGAUGGGCCCGCGGCGCAUUAGCUAGUUGGUGAGGUAACGGCUCACCAAGGCGACGAUGCGUAGCCGACCUGAGAGGGUGAUCGGCCACAUUGGAACUGAGACACGGUCCAGACUCCUACGGGAGGCAGCAGUGGGGAAUAUUGCACAAUGGGGGAAACCCUGAUGCAGCAACGCCGCGUGAGUGGUGAAGGCCUUCGGGUCGUAAAGCUCUGUCUUUGGGGACGAUAAUGACGGUACCCAAGGAGGAAGCCACGGCUAACUACGUGCCAGCAGCCGCGGUAAUACGUAGGUGGCAAGCGUUGUCCGGAUUUACUGGGCGUAAAGGGAGCGUAGGUGGAUACUUAAGUGGGAUGUGAAAUCCCCGAGCUUAACUCGGGGGCUGCAUUCCAAACUGGGUGUCUUGAGUGCAGGAGAGGAAAGUGGAAUACCUAGUGUAGCGGUGAAAUGCGUAGAGAUUAGGAAGAACACCAGUGGCGAAGGCGACUUUCUGGACUGUAACUGACACUGAGGCUCGAAAGCGUGGGGAGCAAACAGGAUUAGAUACCCUGGUAGUCCACGCCGUAAACGAUGGGUACUAGGUGUGGGAGGUAUCGACCCCUUCCGUGCCGCCGCUAACGCAAUAAGUACCCCGCCUGGGGAGUACGGUCGCAAGAUUAAAACUCAAAGGAAUUGACGGGGACCCGCACAAGCAGCGGAGCAUGUGGUUUAAUUCGAAACAACCCGAAGAACCUUACCUAGACUUGACAUCUUCUGCAUUACCCUUAAUCGGGGAAAUCCAGUGCUUGCACUGGACAGAAUGACAGGUGGUGCAUGGUUGUCGUCAGCUCGUGUCGUGAGAUGUUGGGUUAAGUCCCGCAACGAGCGCAACCCUUAUUGUUAGUUGCUACCAUUAAGUUGAGCACUCUAGCAAGACUGCCUGGGCUAACCAGGAGGAAGGUGGGGAUGACGUCAAAUCAUCAUGCCCCUUAUGUCUAGGGCUACACACGUGCUACAAUGGGUGGUACAAAGAGAUGCAAGACCGUGAGGUGGAGCAAAUCUAGAAAACCAUUCCCAGUUCGGAUUGUAGGCUGAAACUCGCCUACAUGAAGCCGGAGUUGCUAGUAAUCGCGAAUCAGCAUGUCGCGGUGAAUACGUUCCCGGGUCUUGUACACACCGCCCGUCACACCAUGAGAGUUGGCAAUACCCGAAGUCCGUAGCCUAACCUGCUAAGGAGGGCGCGGCCGAAGGUAGGGUCAGCGAUUGGGGUGAAGUCGAAACAAGGUA